RNAcentral lists this ribosomal RNA (372 nucleotides) under uncultured bacterium. RNAcentral describes it as "bacterial SSU rRNA". It matches the Rfam family "Bacterial small subunit ribosomal RNA", at positions 523 to 898 of the family's 1533-position model. The record is from RNAcentral.
AUACGUAGGGGGCAAGCGUUGUCCGGAAUGACUGGGCGUAAAGAGUACGUAGGCGGCUAGGUAAGUCAGAUGUGAAAGGCAUGGGCUCAACCCAUGUAAGCAUUUGAAACUGCUUAGCUUGAGUUAAGGAGAGGAAAGUGGAAUUCCUGGUGUAGCGGUGAAAUGCGUAGAUAUCAGGAGGAAUAUCAGUGGCGAAGGCGACUUUCUGGACUUAUACUGACGCUGAGGUACGAAAGCGUGGGGAGCAAACAGGAUUAGAUACCCUGGUAGUCCACGCCGUAAACGAUGAGUGCUAGGUGUCGGGGGUCAAACCUCGGUGCCGGAGUUAACACAUUAAGCACUCCGCCUGGGGAGUACGUGCGCAAGCAUGAA